RNAcentral lists this ribosomal RNA (465 nucleotides) under uncultured bacterium. Its description in RNAcentral is "partial 16S ribosomal RNA". It matches the Rfam family "Bacterial small subunit ribosomal RNA", at positions 28 to 507 of the family's 1533-position model. The record is from RNAcentral.
GACGAACGCUGGCGGCGUGCUUAACACAUGCAAGUCGAACGGAAAGGCCCUGCUUGCAGGGUACUCGAGUGGCGAACGGGUGAGUAACACGUGGGUGAUCUGCCCUGCACUUCGGGAUAAGCCUGGGAAACUGGGUCUAAUACCGGAUAGGAGCCAUUUUUAGUGUGAUGGUUGGAAAGUUUUAUCGGUGUAGGAUGAGCUCGCGGCCUAUCAGCUUGUUGGUGGGGUAAUGGCCUACCAAGGCGGCGACGGGUAGCCGGCCUGAGAGGGUGGACGGCCACAUUGGGACUGAGAUACGGCCCAGACACCUACGGGAAGCAGCAGUGGGGAAUAUUGCACAAUGAGCGCAAGCCUGAUGCAGCGACGCCGCGUGGGGGAUGACGGCCUUCGGGUUGUAAACUCCAUUCGCUAGGGACGAAGCUUUUUGUGACGGUACCUAGAUAAGAAGCACCGGCUAACUACGUG